GCUUCUCUGGCCCAACGGUACGGCAGCUGCCUUGUAAGCAGCAGAUUGUGAGUUCGAAUCUCACGGGAAGCUCCA
Molecule: transfer RNA, 75 nt
Filed under: Ruminococcaceae bacterium YAD3003
Lineage: Bacteria; Bacillati; Bacillota; Clostridia; Eubacteriales; Oscillospiraceae
Also listed under: 1 other name
Description: tRNA_Thr_TGT
Rfam family: tRNA
About the family: Transfer RNA (tRNA) molecules are approximately 80 nucleotides in length. Their secondary structure includes four short double-helical elements and three loops (D, anti-codon, and T loops).
Source: RNAcentral